This 71-nucleotide transfer RNA is filed under the name Patescibacteria group bacterium. RNAcentral's name for it is "tRNA-Gly". It matches the Rfam family "tRNA". From Rfam's summary of the family: Transfer RNA (tRNA) molecules are approximately 80 nucleotides in length. Their secondary structure includes four short double-helical elements and three loops (D, anti-codon, and T loops). The record is from RNAcentral.
GCGGGCAUAGUUUAGUGGUAAAACAACAGUUUUCCAAACUGUGGUCGGGUGUCCGAUUCACCCUGCCCGCA